CUGCGCUCUUCCUGUUUACCGGCAUUCAACAGAGGUCUGUGGUUAAAACACAGCCGUUUGGGCAUUUUAACACCGCUUGUGUCAUUUUGUGGGGCUUUGCGUACACUGGAGAGUCUAUUGUAAACAACCGUUACGUGCGGUCUGGCUCGUUACACUGCCUAGUCCCAGCAUUCCCGUGUGUUUACCGUUUGAGUGGGGACAUCCAAUAUAUGCUGUUUGGCAUCUACUUCAUUUCUAUCCCGUGGAUACUGACGUCAGCUCUGCUUUCUGGUGUGGCAAACGGCUGCGUUAUUUGGGGCUAAGACUGAGCUGUGUGUCCGACGGCAGUGAGGCUUUCCUUCACCGUGUGCUGUGUUAUGCUGUGUGAGCACCACUGAUAAAAUCACGGGAACAAGACAGCAGCGUAGACUCUUUGAAGGGUCUCUUUGGCUACCUCCCCUGAUUGUGUUUCAGGUCCAAAUUUUCUUUCUGCCCCGCCUUGCUUGGUGGAGCUGUGUGUCCGACGGCAGUGAGGCUUUCCUUCACCGUGUGCUGUGUUAUGCUGUGUGAGCACCACUGAUAAAAUCACGGGUAUUGGAGUGAGUGU
Long non-coding RNA from Cyprinus carpio carpio, 586 nucleotides. The record is from Ensembl. Lineage: Eukaryota; Metazoa; Chordata; Actinopteri; Cypriniformes; Cyprinidae.